GGACCCGCACAAGUAGUGGAGCAUGUGGUUUAAUUCGAAGAUACGCGCAGAACCUUACCAACACUUGACAUGUUCGUCGCGACUUUAAGAGAUUAAAGUUUUCGGUUCGGCCGGACGAAACACAGGUGCUGCAUGGCUGUCGUCAGCUCGUGUCGUGAGAUGUUGGGUUAAGUCCCGCAACGAGCGCAACCCUCACUUUUAGUUGCCAUCAUUUAGUUGGGCACUCUGAAAGAACUGCCAGUGAUAAGCUGGAGGAAGGUGGGGAUGACGUCAAGUCCUCAUGGCCCUUACGUGUUGGGCUACACACGUGCUACAAUGGUAUCUACAACAGGAAGCAAAACGGCGACGUUAAGCAAAUCCUUAAAAGAUACCUCAGUUCGGAUUGCACUCUGCAACUCGAGUGCAUGAAGUUGGAAUCGCUAGUAAUCG
This 429-nucleotide ribosomal RNA is filed under the name uncultured bacterium. Its description in RNAcentral is "bacterial SSU rRNA". It matches the Rfam family "Bacterial small subunit ribosomal RNA", at positions 917 to 1344 of the family's 1533-position model. The record is from RNAcentral.